GCACAGUAGUUAGCCGGUGCUUAUUCUGUCGGUACCGUCAUUACAUAUACGGUAUUAGGUCACUGCCCUUCCUCCCUAGCUUAAAGUGCUUUACAUUCCGAAGACCUUCUUCACACACGCGGCAUGGCUGGAUCAGGCUUUCGCCCAUUGUCCAAUAUUCCCCA
RNAcentral lists this ribosomal RNA (164 nucleotides) under uncultured bacterium. RNAcentral describes it as "partial 16S ribosomal RNA". The record is from RNAcentral.